This 59-nucleotide ribosomal RNA is filed under the name Mentha x piperita (peppermint). Lineage: Eukaryota; Viridiplantae; Streptophyta; Magnoliopsida; Lamiales; Lamiaceae. The record is from RNAcentral.
CUUCACCUAUCAGAGAACAACUGCGGUGUUGCUUUUGGGUGCGAUCAUACCAGCACUAA